Molecule: ribosomal RNA, 584 nt
Filed under: Colletotrichum graminicola
Lineage: Eukaryota; Fungi; Ascomycota; Sordariomycetes; Glomerellales; Glomerellaceae
Description: eukaryotic LSU rRNA
Rfam family: Eukaryotic large subunit ribosomal RNA
Source: RNAcentral
CAUAUCAAUAAGCGGAGGAAAAGAAACCAACAGGGAUUGCCCCAGUAACGGCGAGUGAAGCGGCAACAGCUCAAAUUUGAAAUCUGGCCCCAGGCCCGAGUUGUAAUUUGCAGAGGAUGCUUUUGGCGCGGUGCCUUCCGAGUUCCCUGGAACGGGACGCCAUAGAGGGUGAGAGCCCCGUACGGUUGGACACCAAGCCUCUGUAAAGCUCCUUCGACGAGUCGAGUAGUUUGGGAAUGCUGCUCAAAAUGGGAGGUAUAUUUCUUCUAAAGCUAAAUAUUGGCCAGAGACCGAUAGCGCACAAGUAGAGUGAUCGAAAGAUGAAAAGCACUUUGAAAAGAGGGUUAAACAGCACGUGAAAUUGUUAAAAGGGAAGCGCUUGUGACCAGACUUGCGCCCGGUGAAUCACCCAGCUCUCGCGGCUGGGGCACUUCGCCGGCACAGGCCAGCAUCAGCUCGCCGUCGGGGACAAAAGCUUGGGGAACGUAGCUCUCUUCGGGGAGUGUUAUAGCCCCUUGCAUAAUACCCUUCGGCGGGCUGAGGUACGCGUUCGCAAGGAUGCUGGCGUAAUGGUCAUCAGCGAC